UUGACACACUGCGGGAGAGGAAAAUGAAGUUACUGGACCCACUGAAACGGGACUCAUUGAUCCUCUAGCCCAUGGUGGGCAGUGUGCAUCAGCGUGGUCCUUCAGACUUUUAGAUGCUCCUUCUCUUCAAAUUUCGUGCUCAUCAAAGUACAUAUUUUUCUGCACUGUAUCAAAGAAUCCUUUGUUUAAUAGAAGACACAGAAUAAUUCAGUAUGGACCUUUGUCUGAGAGGCAUCAGAAGAGAUCACAUCCAUGUGCUUAGAGAACGUCACGUGUGCUCUGCGUCCUCCACGUAGGCAGGGCGGGAUGGCUGAAGUGGGCUGGAGUCCCCACAGGUGGCUGGAGAUGCUCAUGUUCUAUCCCAGGACCAACAAACAGAACCAGAAGAAGAAGCAGAAAGUUGAGCCACCCACGCCACAGGUAGGCAGUGGGUUUGCCAGUUGGUGUCCACUUUGUGGUUUCAGAGAUGAGGAGCUGGGGCAAAGCGAGAGUACCCCAGAAGAUUCAAGGGCUUCAGGACCCAGCCUAAAAUUAGGGGUGAG
RNAcentral lists this long non-coding RNA (542 nucleotides) under Equus asinus (donkey). RNAcentral's name for it is "lncRNA (ENSEASG00005027194.1)". Lineage: Eukaryota; Metazoa; Chordata; Mammalia; Perissodactyla; Equidae. The record is from RNAcentral.